This 378-nucleotide long non-coding RNA is filed under the name Phasianus colchicus (ring-necked pheasant). RNAcentral describes it as "lncRNA (ENSPCLG00000003766.1)". Lineage: Eukaryota; Metazoa; Chordata; Aves; Galliformes; Phasianidae. The record is from RNAcentral.
GUUAGAGAAGAGGAAUUUGAAAUGUUGCUUGGAAAUGGGCCUGGUAGACAGGAACAAAAGAGUUCCUGCUGAAAUCCCCGAAGCUGUCACUCCAAAGAGCAGUCUUGAUCACUCUAGACUGUACGCAUGAGAACAUGUAUUGUGGUUGUCAACUGGCCAUCGAACCUUGGAUGAUCCACCACUACCAAAGAUCAGCAUCCCCUGACAUCAAGGAAUGGUACCCCCAGGCUGAGAGACUUCCUGGACUUCAGCUUGAGGAUGAGGGAGAAGUGUGCCAAACCUGUAGAUUCACAGGAUCAGCUGGGUGAGUCCAGAGUGACCAAGAAUCAUUAGGUUUUGUAAAGCUAGUUACAGUCCUCCAUUUUUUAGGUGCAAGCC